Molecule: small nuclear RNA, 283 nt
Filed under: Cebus imitator (Panamanian white-faced capuchin)
Lineage: Eukaryota; Metazoa; Chordata; Mammalia; Primates; Cebidae
Description: 7SK RNA (ENSCCAG00000004295.1)
Rfam family: 7SK RNA
About the family: 7SK was discovered as an abundant small nuclear RNA in the mid-70s but a possible function has only recently been suggested. Two independent studies have found that 7SK RNA binds the CDK9/cyclin T complex (known as elongation factor P-TEFb). P-TEFb activates transcription by phosphorylating the C-terminal domain of RNA polymerase II.
Source: Rfam by way of RNAcentral
GGCAGCAAUCUGGCUGACAUCUGUCCCUCCUUUGACUACCCAUCGUUAGUUCUAACUGAUCUGGCAAGCUGAAUGGGUGCCCUCUUUCCCCUUUGUGUUCCAUGGACAUUAUCAAUGAAAAUGCAUUUUCAGUGGAGGAGCAUAACUUUCCUGUUAGAGGACAAUUCUUUGGUUAAGAGUGUAUAAACAGCUGCUUACCUUAACCAGAACAUUCAAACACACUCAAAGUUUAUAUUUUAGAGAAUGUUGUCUCAAAGACAGACUGAUUUGUCUGUCUGUCUAU